This 85-nucleotide transfer RNA is filed under the name Felis catus (domestic cat). It matches the Rfam family "tRNA". Rfam says of the family: Transfer RNA (tRNA) molecules are approximately 80 nucleotides in length. Their secondary structure includes four short double-helical elements and three loops (D, anti-codon, and T loops). RNAcentral also lists the same sequence under 2 other names. The record is from Rfam by way of RNAcentral. Lineage: Eukaryota; Metazoa; Chordata; Mammalia; Carnivora; Felidae.
GCCUGGGUGGCUCAGUCGGUGGAGCAUCUGACUUCGGCACAGGUCAUGAUCUCAUGGUUCAUGGGUUCGAGCCCCGCAUCAGGCU